Molecule: long non-coding RNA, 776 nt
Filed under: Salmo salar (Atlantic salmon)
Lineage: Eukaryota; Metazoa; Chordata; Actinopteri; Salmoniformes; Salmonidae
Description: lncRNA (ENSSSAG00000085327.1)
Source: RNAcentral
CCACUCUGCAGGGAGAGAUGCCAGGGUAGAAGGCCACUCUGCAGGGAGAGAUGCCAGGGUACAAGGCCACUCUGCAGGGAGAGAUGCCAGGGUAGAAGGCCACUCUGCAGGGAGAGAUGCCAGGGUAGAAGGCCACUCUGCAGGGAGAGAUGCCAGGGUAGAAGGGCUCUCUGCAGGGAGAGAUGCCAGGGUAGAAGGCCACUCUGCAGGGAGAGAUGCCAGGGUACAAGGCCACUCUGCAGGGAGAGAUGCCAGGGUACAAGGCCACUCUGCAGGGAGAGAUGCCAGGGUAGAAGGGCUCUCUGCAGGGAGAGAUGCCAGGGUAGAAGGCCACUCUGCAGGGAGAGAUGCCAGGGUAGAAGGCCACUCUGCAGGGAGAGAUGCCAGGGUACAAGGCCACUCUGCAGGGAGAGAUGCCAGGGUACAAGGCCACUCUGCAGGGAGAGAUGCCAGGGUAGAAGGGCUCUCUGCAGGGAGAGAUGCCAGGGUAGAAGGGCUCUCUGCAGGGAGAGAUGCCAGGGUAGAAGGGCUCUCUGCAGGGAGAGGUGGAGACACGUUACACACACGCUCCUGUGUGUGAAGAGAAAUGUAAAUAAAGACUUCCUUGCUCUUUAUAUUUAUUACAUCCUGAAAAUAACCUUCAGCAAAUAGGCUAACAGGUCAGAGCUUUACAACGCUGUGAAGACUGAGUACAUCUGUUCCUAACUUUGUUUAGACAUGCGCACAGAGACACAAGAGAGACACAAGAGAGACACAAGAGAGAGAAGAGAGAAGAG